GGGCUCGUGGUCUAGUCGGUUAUGACGUCGCCUUGACAUGGCGGAGGUCCGGAGUUCGAAUCUCCGCGGGCCCA
RNAcentral lists this transfer RNA (74 nucleotides) under Candidatus Methanoperedens sp. RNAcentral's name for it is "tRNA-Val". It matches the Rfam family "tRNA". Rfam says of the family: Transfer RNA (tRNA) molecules are approximately 80 nucleotides in length. Their secondary structure includes four short double-helical elements and three loops (D, anti-codon, and T loops). Lineage: Archaea; Methanobacteriati; Methanobacteriota; Methanomicrobia; Methanosarcinales; Candidatus Methanoperedentaceae. The record is from RNAcentral.